This 253-nucleotide ribosomal RNA is filed under the name uncultured bacterium. Its description in RNAcentral is "partial 16S ribosomal RNA". It matches the Rfam family "Bacterial small subunit ribosomal RNA", at positions 524 to 776 of the family's 1533-position model. The record is from RNAcentral.
UACGUAGGUGGCAAGCGUUGUCCGGAAUUAUUGGGCGUAAAGCGCGCGCAGGCGGCCUUUUAAGUCUGAUGUGAAAGCCCACGGCUCAACCGUGGAAGGUCAUUGGAAACUGAAAGGCUUGAGUACAGAAGAGGAAAGCGGAAUUCCACGUGUAGCGGUGAAAUGCGUAGAGAUGUGGAGGAACACCAGUGGCGAAGGCGGCUUUCUGGUCUGUAACUGACGCUGAGGCGCGAAAGUGUGGGGAGCGAACAGG